RNAcentral lists this small nuclear RNA (18 nucleotides) under Arabidopsis thaliana (thale cress). RNAcentral's name for it is "snRNA_04980". The record is from RNAcentral. Lineage: Eukaryota; Viridiplantae; Streptophyta; Magnoliopsida; Brassicales; Brassicaceae.
GUUGUGCUCAGCCUGGAA